AUUGAACGCUGGCGGCAUGCUUUACACAUGCAAGUCGGACGGCAGCACAGAGGAGCUUGCUUCUUGGGUGGCGAGUGGCGCACGGGUGAGUAACGCAUCGGAACGUACCGAGUAAUGGGGGAUAACUGUCCGAAAGGACAGCUAAUACCGCAUACGCCCUGAGGGGGAAAGCGGGGGAUCUUAGGACCUCGCGUUAUUCGAGCGGCCGAUGUCUGAUUAGCUGGUUGGCGGGGUAAAGGCCCACCAAGGCGACGAUCAGUAGCGGGUCUGAGAGGAUGAUCCGCCACACUGGGACUGAGACACGGCCCAGACUCCUACGGGAGGCAGCAGUGGGGAAUUUUGGACAAUGGGCGCAAGCCUGAUCCAGCCAUGCCGCGUGUCUGAAGAAGGCCUUCGGGUUGUAAAGGACUUUUGUCAGGGAAGAAAAGGGGCAUGUUAAUACCGUGCUCUGAUGACGGUACCUGAAGAAUAAGCACCGGCUAACUACGU
This 489-nucleotide ribosomal RNA is filed under the name uncultured bacterium. Its description in RNAcentral is "partial 16S ribosomal RNA". It matches the Rfam family "Bacterial small subunit ribosomal RNA", at positions 30 to 506 of the family's 1533-position model. The record is from RNAcentral.